ACGGCCUUUAUCAUGUUGAAACACCAGGUUCCUCUACAAUCCCCAAAGUUAAGCAACGUCGAGCCUGAUCAGUACCUAGAUGGGUGACUGCUUGGGAAUACCAGAUGCU
This 109-nucleotide ribosomal RNA is filed under the name Acanthosepion pharaonis. The record is from RNAcentral. Lineage: Eukaryota; Metazoa; Mollusca; Cephalopoda; Sepiida; Sepiidae.